AAGCCUGAUCCAGCCAUGCCGCGUGUGUGAAGAAGGUCUUCGGAUUGUAAAGCACUUUAAGUUGGGAGGAAGGGCAGUAAAUUAAUACUUUGCUGUUUUGACGUUACCGACAGAAUAAGCACCGGCUAACUCCGUGCCAGCAGCCGCGGUAAUACGAAGGGUGCAAGCGUUAAUCGGAAUUACUGGGCGUAAAGCGCGCGUAGGUGGUUCGUUAAGUUGGAUGUGAAAUCCCCGGGCUCAACCUGGGAACUGCAUUCAAAACUGRCGAGCUAGAGUAUGGUAGAGGGUGGUGGAAUUUCCUGUGUAGCGGUGAAAUGCGUAGAUAUAGGAAGGAACACCAGUGGCGAAGGCGACCACCUG
RNAcentral lists this ribosomal RNA (360 nucleotides) under uncultured Pseudomonas sp. RNAcentral describes it as "bacterial SSU rRNA". It matches the Rfam family "Bacterial small subunit ribosomal RNA", at positions 379 to 731 of the family's 1533-position model. Lineage: Bacteria; Pseudomonadati; Pseudomonadota; Gammaproteobacteria; Pseudomonadales; Pseudomonadaceae. The record is from RNAcentral.